GACGGGAUCUCCGACUUCAAUGUUCCCCUUCCUCGUCUUUUUCUCUUCUCCACUCCUCCCCCCUUAUAUGUUCAACUCUGGCAGUUCCCGAAUUAGCCGUCUCAAAGUGAAGCUCGUUGGAUAGAGAUCCGUCUUCUCCUCUUCCUUGCCUAUUGUCAUUUCCUGCCCUUGAAGCAAGGUUUCGAUUGCUAUAAAUUGCAAUUAUAUAUACUCUUAAAACAGAGGAAUCACAACAAAAAAAAUGAAUCAUCGCCGAAAAAGAAUCCUAUAACUAACUCCACCGUUGUCUUUGUCAUCGUUUCCUCCGUAUGUUUUUCUUCCGGCUGCGUCUCUGGCUUGGGGGUAAACUGAGGAACAAUGGCGACUCAUCAGUUACCACCAAAAACGGUAGUGGAGAUGCUUAGAGACAACAACAUACAGAAGGUGAAGCUGUUCGAUGCUGACACGAACACGAUGGGAGCUCUCGCUGGCUCCGGCGUCGAAGUUAUGGUGGCGAUCCCUAAUGAUCUUCUCAAAGCCAUGGGAAACUUUCAAAGAGCUAAAGAUUGGGUCCAUCGAAACUCUCUCGAUUCAACUUUAACAACGGCGUUAAGAUCAAGUUUUGAUUGCUAUAAAUUGCAAUUGUAUAUACGCUUUGAUCCACAUUGAGAACGAGAUGUGGAAUUCAGAGAACCUUCUAAUGUCCAGAGACAAUGCUUUGGCCAAAUGUUAUAACGAGAACAGUUUUUAAAGAAAGGCUAAAUGAAGGCUGAAGAGAGGAAAGAUACCGAGAGGGCCCAGCUUAAAACCACCGAUAAUGAUCAUCUGGUAUGAACUUCUUCUCUUCACUCUUUGUUUUAAUGGAGACUCUAUUUGUUUGUUUAUAUAGCUUUGACGGACAGCAUAGGUGGGAGAGAAAAGACAACAUGUUUGCUUUACACAACACCCAAAACCAACAGACAACAUGCAUCACAAGAAAAAAUGUAUCCUUUCAAACAAUAAUGUAUUUAUACUCAAAAUAAGUAGACAACAUAAUUAUAUUCAUUAAUAAUGAAACACAGACCCCAACCAAAUAAUCAACUAAACCGGGGACCUAAGCAACAGGAUAGGAAACGAUGUCAAACAGUGCAAGACAAAGGUAAAUGAAGAUCAACAAAGGCAGGGAAUAAAAAACUCCACAAAAGUAUCCUUAACAUGGGGCACAGCCAAAGUAUCCUUAUACUCAAUUUAUUUUCAUAUUCACACAUCACUUUCACAUUUAUUUCCGUUUCCAUAUUGACACUUCACUUUAUAUAAUCUAUACAUAUACCAGUGUAUUGUUUUCCUUGUGGGGGUACACUCCAACUAGAUAUGCCACUAGAUGGAGGAUACAUUACUACAUAAUCGUUUGCCAUUACUUGAGCUCCAAAUUGAGAAAGAGAUGAGAAUGCAGAGAAAUCCAGCCUCAACUAAACUGUCUUCCCAAGGUUUAUUAUAUGAUUUCUCCAACUAUAAAUUCAUUACGCAAUAGAUGUAACUCUAUUUUGUACGCAAGUCAUUAAUGUGUAAACCACAACGAAGGUAUUUUCCGGCAUAUUAUAGUGGAUUUUGAGAGGUCAAUCUCUCUUCAGA
This is a non-coding RNA of Camelina sativa (false flax), 1590 nucleotides long. Lineage: Eukaryota; Viridiplantae; Streptophyta; Magnoliopsida; Brassicales; Brassicaceae. The record is from RefSeq and is a predicted model, not a curated record.